UACGUAGGGGGCUAGCGUUGUCCGGAAUCAUUGGGCGUAAAGCGCGUGUAGGCGGUUCGGUAAGUCCGCUGUGAAAGUCCAGGGCUCAACCCUGGAAGGCCGGUGGAAACUGUCGGGCUAGAGUCCGGAAGAGGCGAGUGGAAUUCCCGGUGUAGCGGUGAAAUGCGCAGAUAUCGGGAGGAACACCGGUGGCGAAGGCGGCGAUCUGGGUAGAUACUGACGCUGAGGUGCGAAAGCGUGGGGAGCAAACAGG
Molecule: ribosomal RNA, 253 nt
Filed under: uncultured bacterium
Lineage: Bacteria
Description: partial 16S ribosomal RNA
Rfam family: Bacterial small subunit ribosomal RNA
Source: RNAcentral